RNAcentral lists this ribosomal RNA (460 nucleotides) under uncultured bacterium. RNAcentral's name for it is "partial 16S ribosomal RNA". It matches the Rfam family "Bacterial small subunit ribosomal RNA", at positions 338 to 795 of the family's 1533-position model. The record is from RNAcentral.
CCUACGGGGUGCAGCAGUGAGGAAUAUUGGUCAAUGGACGAGAGUCUGAACCAGCCAAGUAGCGUGAAGGAUGACUGCCCUAUGGGUUGUAAACUUCUUUUAUAUGGGAAUAAAACGUUCCACGUGUGGGAUUUUGUAUGUACCAUAUGAAUAAGGAUCGGCUAACUCCGUGCCAGCAGCCGCGGUAAUACGGAGGAUCCGAGCGUUAUCCGGAUUUAUUGGGUUUAAAGGGAGCGUAGGUGGAUUGUUAAGUCAGUUGUGAAAGUUUGCGGCUCAAACGUAAAAUUGCAGUUGAAACUGGCAGUCUUGAGUACAGUAGAGGUGGGCGGAAUUCGUGGUGUAGCGGUGAAAUGCUUAGAUAUCACGAAGAACUCCGAUUGCGAAGGCAGUUCACUGGACUGCAACUGACACUGAGGCUCGAAAGUGUGGGUAUCAAACAGGAUUAGAUACCCUUGUAGUC